GCCAGGCAGAAGGAAACAAUGGUUGGGCAGGUGCCAAGGCUUUAGAAAAAAACUGAGGUCCCAAGAGAGAAACCAGAGCUGCCCUGUUGCACUUACUUCAAGGAGGAAUCAACCCCUGGGGAGUUGACCCCUGAGUCAGAAAGCAAAGAGAGGAGGGAGUCUGACAAUAUGUUGAGUAGCCCUUUCUCGUCCCAGAAAACCUCAAGAGCUUCCCAUCAAGUUACCAAGGUAACUGCAGCCCAGCAAGAUUCACAGUGAUGAGGGAAAGAAAGCAGAGACUGAUAGCAGCCCCAGGACAGGCUGCCAGGGUGGAGGCACACAUCUCAGGGUAAGCAGGGACGCAGAGGCUUCGGGCCAGAGCGAACAUCCCCUGCCUCCCUGUCCAGCCUGUUCCAGGAUCUGUUUUCCUGAAGUUUGCAGGUUUAUACAGCCCAGGUAGGUGAGAAGACAGCAUCAAAGCUCCCCUCACUGUCAGGUGGGGAUGACGGGGUGCUUUUCCACAGUUUCCCAGAAUGGCAGAUGUCAUGGCUAC
This is a long non-coding RNA of Hipposideros armiger (great roundleaf bat), 532 nucleotides long. RefSeq lists it as uncharacterized. NCBI's taxonomy places the organism in Eukaryota, Metazoa, Chordata, Mammalia, Chiroptera, Hipposideridae. The transcript is spliced from 3 exons. The record is from RefSeq and is a predicted model, not a curated record.